UUGCAACUGUCGCUGAAAGUGAGGCCUUCAAAGGCCCCGGCUACUGCCGGUCAGUCUACUGACUACAGCAUCAUGUCAGGAGCAGCCUCACGAGGAACACCUGCCCAGGAGUGGCACCACCCUGGGAGCUGGACCCUCCCGCAUCAAUCCUUAAUGAAGAAAAUGUUCCACUGAUUGCAGCGAAUUGCACAGGCCGGAGUGAUGGCAUUGUCUCAGCUGAGGCUGCCUCUUCCGGGUGACUCUAGCAUGUGUGAAGAGCAUGAAAAUUUCAAGAAUUAAAAUCAAGGAGCAUAUGAUUAUCUGUACUUCAGGAGAGGACAACCAUGAACCUGGGGACAGAUCCAAGUGACCUGAGAGUGCAGCUCCAUCCUGUGUCCUCCUGGGGACAGUCACAGCGAUCUGAAGCUAGAGGAAACUAAAGGAAGACAAUUUUGCUUAGGAUUGGAUGUAUUUUCGGCAUAUUCGAUGAACUUUGGACCAGUUCCCAGCUUCCAGAGGGAGAAGGAAGGUCCAGCAUUGGGAAGAUGAAGCCGUAGAUCCUGCUUUGCCCCUGGAAGGCUGGCACACACUAGUGUGGUAGAAGGCGGGUACACACCAGUGUGGAUUCCCUGAAGGAUCUGAGGACUGGAUCCCCAUGUGAAUAUCAAAGAUGGUGCGCCUGAUACAUAGACUAAGCUAAAAUAACUUAAAAGUCUGAAUUUGGGUUGGUUUUUAGCAUACAGAUCUAGAGCAAGGAAACCAGGCUCAUGGCAAACAUCCAGAGUCUUAGACCUAUUAUUUCACAGUGUCAAACUGACCAACCCAGAUUUAGAGAUGUAGAACUGGCAGGACCUGGGAGGAGAUCUCCCAGUCUGACAUAACACAGGGCAAGACUAAGGUAGAAAAUAGAGGGGCUUUCUCUAAGACUGCGGAGCAAGCUUGUGGCUGGCUAUGGACAGAAAAAGGAUUCAGGAACCAGCGGUUCCAGACUUUUCUGACUGGCUGUACUGUCUGCCUUGGGCAAAGAGCUACAUGGAUUUGUUAUAAAAUCAUUUUGGACCCACCUGGCUUUGUCUUCUGAAUGCCAAAAUGCUUCUUCAGGCGAAAAGCGGGGAGAAAACAACCACGAUUAUUUGACCAGGAGAGGAGCAGGAGCAGAACACCACAGAGUUCAGCUGUGACUCAGGAAACUCAGGCUUUGUUGGGAAAAUACAGACAUACAAUGCCAGCCCUUCAGAUCUUCUUCAUCACAACAGCCUUAAAAAAUGACUGUAUUUAGUGAUGUGUGUGUGUAUGUAUGUAUGUGUGAGUGUGCGUGUCCAUGUGUGUCUCUGUGAGUGUGUAGGGGGGCACGUACCAUACUACAUAUAUGGAGGUCAGACACACAUUUGAGGCAAUUGGUUCUCUCCUUCCCUCAUAUGGAUUUUGAGGAUCAAAUUCAGAUCGUUAGUCUUGGCAGCCAAGCGCCUUCACCCAUUGAGCUGUGUUGCCAGCCCCAUUUCUUUUUGUUUCCUUAGGGGAAAAGAAAACAGUUCUGGGGGAAGAUAACAUACAUCAUACGCAGUUUGACACCUCCACUACAGCCGAUACAGUGCUUGGUACCUCGUAAGUUUCUCUUCAUGCCUUCUAAAUUCUGGAAGAGUGACAGAAUCCUACUGGAACUUUAGUACAAGCUAAGUAGACGCUGCAAGCCGAACGUACCUGCAGCCAACAGCUGCAUCCACAGCCACACUUCCCCAGCCCUUUAGAUACCCCAUCCUCACUCCAAUGACACAGACGAGUCUUCUCCUGGUUAUGUGCUCCUUACAAAUAAAUGGUGGAGGCACAUUGGCAGGAAGUGGGAUUCCCAGUUGGAGAGAACUCGGCAGAAGAGAAUGGCUUUGCAUAGUGUAGUUUCAUUUACGUGAUGGAAAGCUCGUAUCAAUGUGGCAGCUGAUUGAUAAGAACGUAGCAGCCUGUCCUUAUUGACAAGGUUUUGUGUCUUCAAUGAUCCACUGAAUUUUACAUUAAGUUAUAAUUUUUAGUUAGGCGGAUUGAUGUAAACAAUACAAAAUCAAGGCAAGUAUGCUUUCUUUUGUACGCUUUCUCUUGAAUUUAAUUUCUAGACCUAAUUUUAUGUUCAGAAAAGAGUGAC
Molecule: non-coding RNA, 2113 nt
Organism: Myodes glareolus (Bank vole)
Lineage: Eukaryota; Metazoa; Chordata; Mammalia; Rodentia; Cricetidae
Source: RefSeq, a predicted model, not a curated record